CGUGUAGGCGGCUGGGUAAGUCAGAUGUGAAAGUCCCGGGCUUAACUCGGGAAGUGCAUUUGAUACUGCUCAGCUAGAGUAAGGGAGAGGAAAGUGGAAUUCCUGGUGUAGGGGUGAAAUUCGUAGAUAUCAGGAGGAACACCGGUGGCGAAGGCGGCUUUCUGGCCCUAUACUGACGCUGAGACGCGAAAGCGUGGGGAGCAAACAGGAUUAGAUACCCUGGUAGUCC
This 229-nucleotide ribosomal RNA is filed under the name uncultured bacterium. RNAcentral's name for it is "partial 16S ribosomal RNA". It matches the Rfam family "Bacterial small subunit ribosomal RNA", at positions 568 to 796 of the family's 1533-position model. The record is from RNAcentral.